RNAcentral lists this non-coding RNA (182 nucleotides) under bovine gut metagenome. The record is from RNAcentral.
GCAGCGGUUUUGGUUCCCCCGCGAGGGGGCGAAGAGGGAAUCAGGUGAGAAUCCUGAACAGUCCCGCUGCUGUGAGUUCCAACAAGUUGCACAGCUUUUAACCAAGGGUCACUGUGGCGCCAGCAGGUGCUAUGGGAAGGCCAAAAGUUGUGUGGAAUGAGUCAGAAGACCUGCCAAAGCUA